GCGCCGGCCGCGGGGCUUUGUGGUUCGCCGGUGCGGCUGGGCCCCUGCUGGGGGUGUCGUUACGAGCAUGUGCAGACAGCAGCCCAAGCCUUCAGGAUAAUUCCUUCAGCAGCACCGCUGUAACAGAGUAAGUGAUUCUUGCCAUUAAAAUGAGACUUGCAUGCCUUUCUCUGGAAGCAACUAUCAUGAAGGUAUCCACUGUCCCUAGCCCCUCUUCGUAUUAGAUGUAUUGUCUCCCGAAAUCUGGGCCAGCGAGGACCGAGGAGAGGCGUGUUGACUGAUGAGGUCCAGAAAUCUUUACAGGAUGAAAUCAACCUUUUUAGCAGCCGGGCAGAUAUAUUAAAACCAGCUGAUGGCUUCCAAGAGCUCCAUGCUCUAAGAUAUGUGUUUUUGAAGCUCAGACUAAAAAACAAAAAAAACCUAUCUGACAUGUUAGGAAGGGAGCUUGGUUGUAUUUUGCCAACAUUAGUGUCAGUUUUCAUGGAGUGCACGGUGUAUACAUUUACCGCAAAUAGACAGAUGCAAAUGACUUGAGUUUAAUUUCAGUCUGUGAUAAACAGGCUAAAGUUAUCCUCACUCUCUGGUGUCUGCAGAUUUUUAAGACACAGUGCAGUAAACUUUUCUUGCAUGCCCUUUGUCAUUUUUGUCUUCGAACAUUAAAGAUGCGACUGUAGGAGGAAUGGAUGACCUGGUCCUAGGUUAAAAUUUAUUGAUUAGGGCAACUAACACCAUUUCAACAGGAAAGAAGGAGUGUAAUGUUUUACUCCAAGACCGGUGGGCACAGUAUUCUUUUAUUAGAUGCUUAUAGUUCCUUGUUUUAAUUCUUGUCAUCCCUUCCUUAAUGUUUUCCCAAUAUUAUAAAUGUUAAAAAUUAAUAGCAUCUUUUCUUAAUACUACAUGCAAUGUGUAUGUAUGUGUACUAACUAUAAAUACUGUACGUCAUCUUGCAAUCUUCCUUUAGCUAAAUUCAUGAUGUUAAUUCUGGGAACCUUUGGUAGAAGUCACUUGGAAAAGCUUUUCAGAAAAAAAAGAUGUGUGUAAAGUUGCCUACUCAACUACAUUUAAAAAAUAUAGUGAGUUUGAUACAGAAACCCCAACUUGAGAGCUCUUUGCUAAAGUUCCCUAAAAAACAAGUAAAUGUGAAACAAGUAUUAUUUGAGUUUCAGGUUCCAACACUGUCACAAUGAGUUGAUGACAAUAACUUGGAGGUGUAAACUUAUACAGGGAUAAGACAAUGCUUCAGAGGCCCUCUGUUUCCUAC
RNAcentral lists this long non-coding RNA (1261 nucleotides) under Heterocephalus glaber (naked mole-rat). RNAcentral's name for it is "lncRNA (ENSHGLG00000036250.1)". The record is from RNAcentral. Lineage: Eukaryota; Metazoa; Chordata; Mammalia; Rodentia; Bathyergidae.